UACGUAGGUGGCAAGCGUUGUCCGGAUUUAUUGGGUUUAAAGGGUGCGUAGGCGGCCCUGUAAGUCAGUGGUGAAAUACAGCAGCUCAACUGUUGGGGUGCCAUUGAUACUGCGGGGCUUGAGUAGGUUCGGGGUGGCCGGAAUUUAUGGUGUAGCGGUGAAAUGCAUAGAUACCAUAAAGAACACCGAUAGCGUAGGCAGGCCACUGGGCCCUUACUGACGCUGAGGCACGAAAGCGUGGGGAUCAAACAGG
RNAcentral lists this ribosomal RNA (253 nucleotides) under uncultured bacterium. RNAcentral's name for it is "partial 16S ribosomal RNA". It matches the Rfam family "Bacterial small subunit ribosomal RNA", at positions 524 to 776 of the family's 1533-position model. The record is from RNAcentral.